UAACACUAGUUAUCAUUGUGGUGGUCUGCUCGAUAAUUUCACCCAUCAUUCUCGUGUCAAUUAUCUGUGUAUCUAUCCGUACAUACAGAAUGAAAAGGAAGUUGACACAUUCUAACUUGAAACACGGAUUUUCUUCUGCUUGGUUUGGUAAUAUAACACGGCAACACCAUUCCAUUGGCAUUUAUGGAAACCAUAUGAGUGGUCGAACGCGUACAUCAGACAGAUAUUUCCCAAGUCGUGAAGGGUCAAGCUGUUCUACAGAUUACAGCUGUUAGACAAUCAACAUAACAUUUCAAGAAUGCCGAAGGAAGUUGAAACUACCGACAUGACAGAGAAUAUUUCUAAUUUUGAUCAGUACUGCAACAUUGUCUUUUUGCAAAAAAAAAGAGAGAACACUUCUGUUUCUGACAUCUAAAUGGGUGCUUGGGUGGAAGCGAAAAUCCUACAUACCAAAAUAAGUAAAAAUAUCAAAAGCAUCUAGAACCUUAAGAAACAAACUAUUUAUCAAUGACCAAUUAAUCGAUACUCUUAACGGAAGUUUCUUAAUAGAGCUAACAUUGUGCGUUAUAAACAAUAUUCGUUUUAAAAUGAUUAUUUGGUAAUAGUUUGUGGAAGGCAUGCAAUAUAAAAUUACAUUAGCUUUCAAAUUUCAAGUUUAAGACAUAAAUAUGCACAAUUCAUGAUGAACAACGAAAAUAAAAUGCAUACAUAAAUAUUAAUGCACAUGUAAAUCUACUUUACAUUUUGCGAAGGUUACACACACAUAUGUUCUAACGGUAUGUACUUGUACUUAUAUUUUACAUUAUCACCUACUAAUUAUUAUAAACAGAAAAAUUGUCCAGUCUUACAUAGUUAUAGGUUAUUAGCUUUGUAUCUGGAAAAUUAAUAUGCACGUGUUCUUCAGCGGAAAUAUUUUGCGACUUUAGGAACGCAAUAUUUUUUCCGCUAUUUCCCGAUGCAAAGAUAAUAACCUUUUUAUUACAUACGUUUCUACAUAUAUGUAAUGUAAAUAUUACGAUUUUUUUUCAAUAGCCUGAAUAAGAUUGACAAUACUGACCUUAACAAAAUUAUUAAUGCAAACGGCACAUAUUAAAUUACGUCACGCGCCCGAUAUGAAAUUCAGGCGUCAGUGUAUGGAAAAAUAUUGACGAUUCCGGUACCAUUGUAACUUAACGGGAAAUAAUAAGGAGUAUGUAAUAAUAAGGUAUAUUCCAGUCUUACGUUAAUCAUUAACGGAACGAAACAACAUGAUCAACAAAUUGGCCAAUCGGCUUUUUAAUCCAAUUGUUAACUGCAUCAGGCCUCAAGCCUUAACACCAAUUUUCAGAUCAUCUUGAAGGAUAUGUGUAUACCCAUCUCCAACCGUUUUGCAAAGAAUGGCUUACAAAUCGUCAGUAGCAACAUCGGCUUGAUAAGAUACACCGGUACAAUUAGCUAUUCAUAUUAAUUAAUAUAUGAGUAUAUCUUUGAACGUAUAUAUCUCUAUUUCAUAAGCAUUCGCAUUUAUAAUAAUCUAACAGUAAGUGCUCGAUGGCCACGCUUGGUAUGUCGAAAAACAUUUUUGAACAUGUGCCAUAUGAAAUAAAAAUAAUCCUUAGAAACAAACAUUAUUAUCUGAAAAAAAAGAAGCAGCUUACCAGUUAGUCAAAACCGCAUAAGCAUAUAAACCGGUGUACAUUUGUUAUCAAAACAGUUUCAUUCAUGUUUCUACUCCACUCCACGUUUUGUGUGUUUUUGAUUAUUAAGAUGUUUUGUACAUAUUACACUUUAUGUAUACGUAGAAUAUCAUCAAUCAUAUUUGUAUCAAUUAGGUUGAAAUAUUUUGAGGUUAUUAAUUACUCAAAUGGAAUUUUGAAAUAUCAUACAGGAAACUGAACAAUGCUAUGAGUUUAGAAUAUACAGUGCUCUCUCUCUACAACAACUUCUUUUGAAGACGGAAAAUUUGGUUGUUGUUCGGAGAGAGUUGUUGUAGAGAGGUAAAAUAAAGAACAAUAAGCAUAUUUUGGAGUCAGUAGCAAGUGUUGUUGCAAGGAGGGAAUUGUUGUUCAAAGAAGAGGGCCGCUGUAAAAAGGAAGCACUGUACAUUUAAUAUGCUAAAUACCGUGCAGAUCGUUAUGCCAUGUCAUGCGGCCAUUACUUGCUCUUCCUUUUCUCUUAAGAAGGGACAUAUUCGACGAAUCCAAACUCAUAGCUACCGCCGUAGUUACCAUAAAUUGAUUAUUCUACUAAGAAAUAUAAGUACAUAUUCUAAAAGUAGUACCUUUACAGGUUUGAAUUUAUUUAAUAAAGGAUUAAGUUUUAAUUAUUGGUACAUGAUUUCAUUACAUACAGCAAAAGCACGGUUUUCAUAUGCUGAGUGAUUUUCAUAAUUUAACAAUUUUAUGAUUUUGUACAUUAUUGGCCGUAUACAGUAUUUUGAUUGGAUAUACAGCAGUGUUUGCUCAGACCAUUAUUCAUUGUACAUUCCAAAAUCAAAAUGAAACUCUUCCUGUACAUUUUAACAUGACAUAGUAAUGCAUUUACUAGAAUAUUUACAGAUCUACAUGUAGCCAAGCGACUGGAAUCUAUCUACAGUCUAUAAGAGAAAAAAUCUCGACGAGUGACUGACAAAAGUUGUUUAUUGAAAAGUGUCUUAAGUUUAUGUGAAAUAAAAGCAAGACUAUUAAUCUAUAUAAAAGUGCUCAUGUAGAAUUUUCUAAUAUAUCAUAAUGCCAGUUUUGUGCAAACUGAUCGAUUAUUUUUUGCUUAACCUUGCAUAAAGGUAGGUCAAUAUUACCUACAUUUUGAUGUUAUCAGUGGUCAUUAAAGCUUAAGGAACAUAUCAAAAUCUUCAAAAGUAACUCCAGAUUACAUUAUUUUUUUAAGUCUUAUUUAAUACACAAAUGUUAUCUUUCGUACUAAUGUUUGGUCCAAAACCGGCCUUUGAUAUACACGUAGGCAGUUUACAAAUACAACUGAAAACAUGUAGUUCCAUGAUAA
Molecule: long non-coding RNA, 2979 nt
Organism: Mercenaria mercenaria
Lineage: Eukaryota; Metazoa; Mollusca; Bivalvia; Venerida; Veneridae
Exons: 2
Source: RefSeq, a predicted model, not a curated record